UGGCUUCUCAGAGGUCUGGGAGACUCAGGCUCCUUCUGCCAGGGCUGCAGUGGCCGACUCCUCCUCCCCCUCCCUCCCCACCCUGCACCGCCUCCAGACCCCAGUCCUGACUAUUGCUUAAUCCCCAGGAACCCAGUUCCUGUGGGCAGCGCCUGACAUGCCUGAUCCUCUCUUUUCUGCAGUUCAAGGGAAAGACAAGAUCUUGCACAAGGCACUCUGCAUCUGCCCUUGGCCAGGGAAGGGUGGCAUGGAGCCUCUCCGGCUGCUCAUCUUACUCUUUGCCACAGAGCUGUCUGGAGCCCACAACACCACAGUGUUCCAGGGCGUGGAGGGCCAGUCCCUACAGGUGUCCUGCCCCUAUGACUCCAUGAAGCAUUGGGGGAGGCGCAAGGCCUGGUGCCGCCAGCUGGGCGAGAAGGGCCCAUGCCAGCGUGUGGUCAGCACGCACAACUUGUGGCUGCUGUCCUUCCUGAGGCGGCGGAAUGGGAGCACAGCCAUCACAGAUGACACCCUGGGCGGCACUCUCACCAUUACACUGCGGAAUCUACAACCCCACGAUGCGGGCUUCUACCAGUGCCAAAGCCUCCAUGGCAGUGAGGCUGACACGCUCCGGAAGGUCCUGGUGGAGGUGCUGGCAGACCCCCUGGAUCACCGGGAUGCUGGAGAUCUCUGGGUCCGCGGGGAGUCUGAGAGCUUCGAGGACGCCCAUGUGGAGCACAGCAUCUCCAGGCCAUCUCGAGGCUCCCAUCUGCCCUCUUGUCUCUCCAAGGAGCCUCUUGGAAGGAGCAAUCCCCUUCCCACCCACUUCCGUCCUUCUCCUCCUGGCCUGCAUCUUUCUCAUCAAGAUUCUAGCAGCCAGCGCCCUCUGGGCUGCAGCCUGGCAUGGACAGAAGCCAGGGACACAUCUACCUAGUGAACCGGACUGUGGCCAUGACCCAGGGCACCAGCUCCAAACUCUGCCAGGGCUGAGAGACACGUGAGGAAGACGAUGGUAGGAAAAGCCCAGGAGAAGUCCCACCAGGGACCAGCCCAGCCUGCAUACGUGCUACUUGGCCACCAGGACUCCUUGUUCUGCUCUGGCAAGAGACUGCUCUGCCUGAACACUGCUUCUCCUGGACUCCGGAAACAGGGACUGUUUGAGGGAGCGGGGAGGUGGUAAGAACACCUGACAACUACUGAACACUGGACAUUUUAAACACUCACAAAUAAACCCAAGACUGUCAUAUUUAACUGGA
RNA transcript from Chlorocebus sabaeus (green monkey), 1235 nucleotides. It is a transcript of the gene named triggering receptor expressed on myeloid cells 2, with no coding region annotated. The record is from RefSeq and is a predicted model, not a curated record. Lineage: Eukaryota; Metazoa; Chordata; Mammalia; Primates; Cercopithecidae.